GGAUUGUGGCUGAGCGGUAGAGCAUUCAGCUAGCAAGUGCAAGGCCCUGGGUUCGAUGCUCAGCACCA
This 68-nucleotide transfer RNA is filed under the name Marmota monax (woodchuck). RNAcentral's name for it is "tRNA.Ala". Lineage: Eukaryota; Metazoa; Chordata; Mammalia; Rodentia; Sciuridae. The record is from RNAcentral.